Molecule: non-coding RNA, 251 nt
Organism: Pelobates cultripes (western spadefoot toad)
Lineage: Eukaryota; Metazoa; Chordata; Amphibia; Anura; Pelobatidae
Source: the annotation of a GenBank genome assembly
GCAGUUGUUGCGCAGGCACUUUGGUGACUUUAGAUAACCUUGGGCCGAUCGCACGUCCCUGUGAUGGCGACGAUGCAUUCAGAUGUCUGCCCUAUCAACUUUUGAUGUUACUUUCUGUGCCUACCAUGGUAACCACGGGUAACAGGGAAUCAGGGUUCGAUUCCGGAGAUGGAGCCUGAGAAACGGCUACCACAUCCAAGGAAGGCAGCAGGCACGCAAAUUACCCACUCCCAACGCAGGGAGGUAGUGAC